UACGGGGGGAGCAAGCGUUGUUCGGAUUUACUGGGCGUAAAGGGCGCGUAGGCGGCCACCGCAAGUCGACUGUGAAGUUUCCGGGCUUAACCCGGAAAGGUCAGCCGAUACUGCGGGGCUAGAGUGCAGAAGGGGCAACUGGAAUUCUCGGUGUAGCGGUGAAAUGCGUAGAUAUCGAGAGGAACACCUGCGGCGAAGGCGGGUUGCUGGGCUGACACUGACGCUGAGGCGCGAAAGCUAGGGGAGCGAACGGG
This 254-nucleotide ribosomal RNA is filed under the name uncultured bacterium. Its description in RNAcentral is "partial 16S ribosomal RNA". It matches the Rfam family "Bacterial small subunit ribosomal RNA", at positions 524 to 776 of the family's 1533-position model. The record is from RNAcentral.